RNAcentral lists this ribosomal RNA (2925 nucleotides) under Escherichia coli. RNAcentral's name for it is "23S ribosomal RNA". It matches the Rfam family "Bacterial large subunit ribosomal RNA". The record is from RNAcentral. Lineage: Bacteria; Pseudomonadati; Pseudomonadota; Gammaproteobacteria; Enterobacterales; Enterobacteriaceae.
GGGUUGUGAGGUUAAGCGACUAAGCGUACACGGUGGAUGCCCUGGCAGUCAGAGGCGAUGAAGGACGUGCUAAUCUGCGAUAAGCGUCGGUAAGGUGAUAUGAACCGUUAUAACCGGCGAUUUCCGAAUGGGGAAACCCAGUGUGUUUCGACACACUAUCAUUAACUGAAUCCAUAGGUUAAUGAGGCGAACCGGGGGAACUGAAACAUCUAAGUACCCCGAGGAAAAGAAAUCAACCGAGAUUCCCCCAGUAGCGGCGAGCGAACGGGGAGCAGCCCAGAGCCUGAAUCAGUGUGUGUGUUAGUGGAAGCGUCUGGAAAGGCGCGCGAUACAGGGUGACAGCCCCGUACACAAAAAUGCACAUGCUGUGAGCUCGAUGAGUAGGGCGGGACACGUGGUAUCCUGUCUGAAUAUGGGGGGACCAUCCUCCAAGGCUAAAUACUCCUGACUGACCGAUAGUGAACCAGUACCGUGAGGGAAAGGCGAAAAGAACCCCGGCGAGGGGAGUGAAAAAGAACCUGAAACCGUGUACGUACAAGCAGUGGGAGCCUCUUUAUGGGGUGACUGCGUACCUUUUGUAUAAUGGGUCAGCGACUUAUAUUCUGUAGCAAGGUUAACCGAAUAGGGGAGCCGAAGGGAAACCGAGUCUUAACUGGGCGUUAAGUUGCAGGGUAUAGACCCGAAACCCGGUGAUCUAGCCAUGGGCAGGUUGAAGGUUGGGUAACACUAACUGGAGGACCGAACCGACUAAUGUUGAAAAAUUAGCGGAUGACUUGUGGCUGGGGGUGAAAGGCCAAUCAAACCGGGAGAUAGCUGGUUCUCCCCGAAAGCUAUUUAGGUAGCGCCUCGUGAAUUCAUCUCCGGGGGUAGAGCACUGUUUCGGCAAGGGGGUCAUCCCGACUUACCAACCCGAUGCAAACUGCGAAUACCGGAGAAUGUUAUCACGGGAGACACACGGCGGGUGCUAACGUCCGUCGUGAAGAGGGAAACAACCCAGACCGCCAGCUAAGGUCCCAAAGUCAUGGUUAAGUGGGAAACGAUGUGGGAAGGCCCAGACAGCCAGGAUGUUGGCUUAGAAGCAGCCAUCAUUUAAAGAAAGCGUAAUAGCUCACUGGUCGAGUCGGCCUGCGCGGAAGAUGUAACGGGGCUAAACCAUGCACCGAAGCUGCGGCAGCGACACUAUGUGUUGUUGGGUAGGGGAGCGUUCUGUAAGCCUGCGAAGGUGUACUGUGAGGUAUGCUGGAGGUAUCAGAAGUGCGAAUGCUGACAUAAGUAACGAUAAAGCGGGUGAAAAGCCCGCUCGCCGGAAGACCAAGGGUUCCUGUCCAACGUUAAUCGGGGCAGGGUGAGUCGACCCCUAAGGCGAGGCCGAAAGGCGUAGUCGAUGGGAAACAGGUUAAUAUUCCUGUACUUGGUGUUACUGCGAAGGGGGGACGGAGAAGGCUAUGUUGGCCGGGCGACGGUUGUCCCGGUUUAAGCGUGUAGGCUGGUUUUCCAGGCAAAUCCGGAAAAUCAAGGCUGAGGCGUGAUGACGAGGCACUACGGUGCUGAAGCAACAAAUGCCCUGCUUCCAGGAAAAGCCUCUAAGCAUCAGGUAACAUCAAAUCGUACCCCAAACCGACACAGGUGGUCAGGUAGAGAAUACCAAGGCGCUUGAGAGAACUCGGGUGAAGGAACUAGGCAAAAUGGUGCCGUAACUUCGGGAGAAGGCACGCUGAUAUGUAGGUGAAGCGACUUGCUCGUGGAGCUGAAAUCAGUCGAAGAUACCAGCUGGCUGCAACUGUUUAUUAAAAACACAGCACUGUGCAAACACGAAAGUGGACGUAUACGGUGUGACGCCUGCCCGGUGCCGGAAGGUUAAUUGAUGGGGUUAGCGGUAACGCGAAGCUCUUGAUCGAAGCCCCGGUAAACGGCGGCCGUAACUAUAACGGUCCUAAGGUAGCGAAAUUCCUUGUCGGGUAAGUUCCGACCUGCACGAAUGGCGUAAUGAUGGCCAGGCUGUCUCCACCCGAGACUCAGUGAAAUUGAACUCGCUGUGAAGAUGCAGUGUACCCGCGGCAAGACGGAAAGACCCCGUGAACCUUUACUAUAGCUUGACACUGAACAUUGAGCCUUGAUGUGUAGGAUAGGUGGGAGGCUUUGAAGUGUGGACGCCAGUCUGCAUGGAGCCGGCCUUGAAAUACCACCCUUUAAUGUUUGAUGUUCUAACGUUGGCCCGUAAUCCGGGUUGCGGACAGUGUCUGGUGGGUAGUUUGACUGGGGCGGUCUCCUCCUAAAGAGUAACGGAGGAGCACGAAGGUUGGCUAAUCCUGGUCGGACAUCAGGAGGUUAGUGCAAUGGCAUAAGCCAGCUUGACUGCGAGCGUGACGGCGCGAGCAGGUGCGAAAGCAGGUCAUAGUGAUCCGGUGGUUCUGAAUGGAAGGGCCAUCGCUCAACGGAUAAAAGGUACUCCGGGGAUAACAGGCUGAUACCGCCCAAGAGUUCAUAUCGACGGCGGUGUUUGGCACCUCGAUGUCGGCUCAUCACAUCCUGGGGCUGAAGUAGGUCCCAAGGGUAUGGCUGUUCGCCAUUUAAAGUGGUACGCGAGCUGGGUUUAGAACGUCGUGAGACAGUUCGGUCCCUAUCUGCCGUGGGCGCUGGAGAACUGAGGGGGGCUGCUCCUAGUACGAGAGGACCGGAGUGGACGCAUCACUGGUGUUCGGGUUGUCAUGCCAAUGGCACUGCCCGGUAGCUAAAUGCGGAAGAGAUAAGUGCUGAAAGCAUCUAAGCACGAAACUUGCCCCGAGAUGAGUUCUCCCUGACUCCUUGAGAGUCCUGAAGGAACGUUGAAGACGACGACGUUGAUAGGCCGGGUGUGUAAGCGCAGCGAUGCGUUGAGCUAACCGGUACUAAUGAACCGUGAGGCUUAACCUUACAACGCCGAAG